UCUCAGGGUAUGAAGAGGGGAAGGACAGACCUGGGGAAGCUGCUGCAGCUGCGGGCACAGAAGGCAGCACUCGGGACAGUCCCGCCAUGGCCUGGGCCCCGCUCCUGCUCUCCCUCCUGGCUCACUGCACAGGGUCCUGGGCCCAGUCUGCGCUGACGCAGCCGCCCUCGGUGUCUGGAGCCCCGGGGCAGAGCGUCACCAUCUCCUGCUUGGGAAGCAGCAGCAACAUCGGGGCUGGGUAUGCUGUGCACUGGUACCAGCAGCUCCCAGGAACGGCCCCCAAACUCCUCAUCUAUGAUAACAGCAAUAGACCCUCGGGGGUCCCUGCCCGGUUCUCUGGCUCCAAGUCUGGCAGCUCGGCCUCCCUGACCAUCGCGGGGCUCCAGGCUGAGGACGAGGCUGACUAUUACUGCCAGUCCUAUGACAGCAGUCUUGAUGCUCCACAGUGCUGCAGGUCCAUGGAGAAGUGGGACAAGAACCCCGUCGUCACCUGCAGGAGGGUGAACGCCGUCAGCUGCUGCUCAGGCCCAGCCUGUGGCUUCUGCUGCUGCUGCUGCCACCGCGGGCCCAGCUGCAGCCACAGGCACCACGAGUUCCCAGACCUAUGUCUUCCUCCCAUUUGA
Non-coding RNA from Microcebus murinus (gray mouse lemur), 623 nucleotides. Lineage: Eukaryota; Metazoa; Chordata; Mammalia; Primates; Cheirogaleidae. The record is from the annotation of a RefSeq genome assembly.